AUAUAUACGAGCCAUCUCGAAAUAACAAAUAAUUAUACAUAUAGUUUCUCUUGGCCUAAUCAAUUCUAUGCAAGAGAUUAUUGACAACAACCAUGCAUAAGCCUCCAUUCGGAUUGUGUUGCCAAUUAAAACAAUCAAUGCACAUGUCAACUCUCUUCCUCCUUCCUCCUCUCCUUCUCCUCCCUCUUUCUUCUUCUUUCCAAUUCUUCCAUAUCUAUCCAUAUCCUUCCAUCAACAAAAAAUUUGCAUAGUAAAAGUUGCAUCAAAAUUAGAAAGAAAGUUAAGGCUCUUAAGCCUCUAUUAUUAAAGCAAUCAAUACUUCUAAUUCCUAGCAAGAAACACCCCAUCUCUUCUACCAUUCUAAAAGAGAAGAUCUAAGAAAUUAUAUAAUUUAAUCAUAUUUUUCUCAAUAAGAAUCACAAACUACAAAUUUAGCCAUUACUUUAUACUAGAG
This 454-nucleotide long non-coding RNA is filed under the name Physcomitrium patens. RNAcentral's name for it is "long non-coding RNA (PPAT_LNC004125)". Lineage: Eukaryota; Viridiplantae; Streptophyta; Bryopsida; Funariales; Funariaceae. The record is from RNAcentral.